GUCAGUCUUUCGUCGACUUUGAUUUGACAUGCUAAUCUUGAAGUUUCGCAAACUUGCGGUGCCAUAUCCAGCAUAUCCUCUUCUCUCUCUGAUGGCGGUUCUAGUUCAUCAUAAAUUUCCUAUGGAUUAAAGAGUGAAAAAUAAGGAUAAGUGCGAGGCCUUUAAGGGUAUGAGAGCACAAAGUUAAGAUGCAAGUCUCAUGGACAAGUUCUAGUUUGUGCGCAUCUGAGGAAGAAUAGAUGUUUGCUUUUAUAGUUAUCCCCCUUUUGCAAAUGAAUUGUGAAUUUUUGGGUCUUUAUAUUAGGAAGAUCUUUAUGUUAUUUAUUUGGAACUUCACAUCGAAAUUAGACCGAUAGUUUGUUCCGUUUCCUUUUUUUUUCCUCGUCCCCAGUUAAUCUAUUCAAUAAACUUACUUUGUCCAAAAUGACAUGACAUGUGCUACAUGCUAAAGAUGCUUCGCAUGCUCCUUCUAUGUCUAGUUCUUCAUGCUGAGCAGCUUCUAGUAAAGAAAUAUUCUUUGGAGCCUGAGUUAUAGCAAAGUUAAAUGGUUAAAGUAUUUAUAAAAGAUAUAGAUCUCUAAACUUACAUUAAAAACUUUCUUCUCACCAUCUCUCAAUAUAAACGAAAGUUCUCUAAGGAUCCAAUUAAUGGUGAAUUAAAAAGUUGAACUUUAAUUAUAAUUUCUUAAGUCUAGAAUAGAUUAACUUACAUCUUCGGAUGAACAUCUUUGGUCCAUAGUUCUGGAUCUGAGUGAAAGAAGCGUUUAAAAGACAGAAAAAGCGUUCUCUUACUAAAAUAUGGUAUGGCAGAGAAAACUCUCGAGGAGAUUGGCCUGCUGAUCCUCCAAAUCAAAUUAUUUACCAUUUACCAAAUUUUAAAUAUAUUCUGUGAGCAUUGGCGGGAACAUUUGUGAUAGUAAUUAAACAAUUUGUUUAAAUGCUAUGGGCAUUUUUAUGACGUAAAAAAAAUUUGCCAGUAAUUUUCUUGUACAAUUCCAAACUACUCAUUGAGAUGAAACCCCAAACCCUUCAAUCAGAGAUUCUGUAACUGAAAGAAGGGAAGUAGCCUCACCCCAUCUAUACUUUUCCUUUGUUGAAGCAAUACAUUUGAUAACUAUAUUUAGGCAUGAAACGUACUCGAAUAGUGCAAAACCAGAGUCUCUCAUGAUAACCAUUUCUCUGAAUAAAAUAUCCACUAGUACAUGGAAGUCCAUUGUAUCGCAAUGCAAAGAUUUUUGUCUCUUCAUGCAUCUAAGUAUAUCACUUAAAAGAAGCAUUAAACUUGCAUACUUUUUAAAAUGCUCUGUACCAUACUCAAUAGAAUUGUUUUGGUUAAGUAGUAGUAGAAUACAUUCCAUUACAAUAUAUCCGUGCUUAUUUUCAAGUAUCUCACCCACGAUUGGACUGUCAAUUCCAUCGUAUUGGCUAGAUAAGUAGCUCAAAUAUGGGCUUGGAGCUGCUAUUUCCUCCUUUUGGAUAGCUGAGCAUUUUUUCUGCUGUUCCUGAUGGUCUCUAGUUCUUACCUUUGCAUAGUUAUCCAAUGCCCAUUCGUAGUGCAUUGCUGCAAGCUCAUUCAACAAAUCAGCAGCAUCAGUUGUAAUGGUCCUUGAUUCUAAGCUUGAUCUGGAUAUAGAAUUCUCUGUUCCAGAAAUGUUCUCAGCUUUGGUUGGAAAUAAUGGCUGAAUUGGAGCUCUUAAGUCAAGUCCAUCCCCAAAUAUUCUCACACUUUUUUCCCUAUAUGCAACCAAUAAUUUAAUGGUUUCAGCGACUUUUUUAAUAUCUUUCAUCCUUGUUAUGU
This 1797-nucleotide non-coding RNA is filed under the name Cryptosporidium parvum. The record is from RNAcentral. Lineage: Eukaryota; Apicomplexa; Conoidasida; Eucoccidiorida; Cryptosporidiidae.